Molecule: long non-coding RNA, 458 nt
Filed under: Brassica rapa (field mustard)
Lineage: Eukaryota; Viridiplantae; Streptophyta; Magnoliopsida; Brassicales; Brassicaceae
Description: long non-coding RNA (BRAP_LNC003246)
Source: RNAcentral
AAAAGUGAUGUUGUUUUACGUUUAUUUUGUGGGCUUUGAAGAAUGAUAAGUGUAUGUCUUAUAUAAAAAAAAAUACUUUUGUGGUUUUUGCUCGUGAGAAACCAAGAAAAAAGAAAUUUUGGUUUCUAAGUAAAAAAAGGUAAAAUGAAUCAGAAACUAGUUUCCCUAGAAAAUAGGAAAACUACUUUGUCAAAAUCAUGAUUGGUUAAGAAAUAGAUUCUAGAAAAUCAAAAACCAAAAACUACUUUAAAAACUAUAAACAAUCAACCUAUAUAUAUUCAUGAGGACGAGGAGUGAGGAGUGAAGAGGAAAAAAAAAAGGAAAUUGCAUCCAGUAAACACAAAAAAAAAACAAAAUCCACUAACUAACUAAAAACACCUUCUCUCUCCUACUUUUUCUUCCUAUCUCUCUCUACUCUCUCUCUCUCUAAAAAUCUAAUUUCACUUUUUUUUGGCUAU